This 321-nucleotide ribosomal RNA is filed under the name uncultured Lachnospiraceae bacterium. RNAcentral describes it as "partial 16S ribosomal RNA". The record is from RNAcentral. Lineage: Bacteria; Bacillati; Bacillota; Clostridia; Lachnospirales; Lachnospiraceae.
CACGUAGUUAGCCGGGGCUUCUUAGUCAGGUACCGUCAUUUUCUUCCCUGCUGAUAGAGCUUUACAUACCGAAAUACUUCAUCGCCCACGCGGCGUCGCUGCAUCAGGGUUUCCCCCAUUGUGCAAUAUUCCCCACUGCUGCCUCCCGUAGGAGUCUGGGCCGUGUCUCAGUCCCAAUGUGGCCGUCCACCCUCUCAGGCCGGCUACUGAUCGUCGGCUUGGUGGCCGUUACCCCACAACUACCUAAUCAGACGCGGGUCCAUCUUACACCACCUCGGUUUUUACCACUAUACCAUGCGGUACUGUGGUCUUAUGCGGUAU